RNAcentral lists this long non-coding RNA (372 nucleotides) under Carica papaya (papaya). RNAcentral describes it as "long non-coding RNA (CPAP_LNC000290)". The record is from RNAcentral. Lineage: Eukaryota; Viridiplantae; Streptophyta; Magnoliopsida; Brassicales; Caricaceae.
CUACCCGAGGCUGCAGUGCCCUAGCUGGCGUGUUGUAGCCUAGCUUGCAGCCACACAAGCCUCCUGCUACGCACGCAUGGGCUACUAGCCUACGCGUACACAGGGCCUAGGGCGCGCAAGGCCUAUCCACGCGAGCCUAUUGCGCAGACAGCCUGCCUACAUGCGACAAGAUGCAUGCAGGACCUGUCCCCACGUCGUGCGCAUGGAUGAGACGUGUCUUCUGUGUGCGCGUCUUGUGCGUGCUGCGUGAGAAUGGGACGUGCGUGUUAUACGCAAGUCCUGCGGCUACUGGGAGCGUGCGCGCGCGCAUACAGGCGCGACAUCCGUGCAAGCAGCUCUACUUCCCCGUGGGAUUUCUUCCCGUUUCGCCAU